This 729-nucleotide ribosomal RNA is filed under the name uncultured bacterium. RNAcentral's name for it is "bacterial SSU rRNA". It matches the Rfam family "Bacterial small subunit ribosomal RNA", at positions 190 to 916 of the family's 1533-position model. The record is from RNAcentral.
UCCUCCCGCGGCCAAAGGGGCGACCCGGUCACGGAUGGGCAUGCGGCGCAUUAGGUAGUUGGUGGGGCAACGGCCCACCAAGCCGACGAUGCGUAGGGGUUCUGAGAGGAAGGUCCCCCACAUUGGAACUGAGACACGGUCCAAACUCCUACGGGAGGCAGCAGUGAGGAAUAUUGGUCAAUGGCCGGAAGGCUGAACCAGCCAAGUCGCGUGAGGGAAUGAGGCCCUACGGGUCGUGAACCUCUUUUGCCGGGGAGCAAGGCCGCCCACGUGUGGGCGGAAGGAGAGUACCCGGAGAAAAAGCAUCGGCUAACUCCGUGCCAGCAGCCGCGGUAAUACGGAGGAUGCGAGCGUUAUCCGGAUUUAUUGGGUUUAAAGGGUGCGUAGGCGGCGUGCCAAGUCAGCGGUAAAAUUGCGGGGCUCAACCCCGUAAAGCCGUUGAAACUGGCGCGCUCGAGUGGGCGAGAAGUAUGCGGAAUGCGUGGUGUAGCGGUGAAAUGCAUAGAUAUCACGCAGAACCCCGAUUGCGAAGGCAGCAUACCGGCGUCCCACUGACGCUGAGGCACGAAAGUGCGGGGAUCAAACAGGAUUAGAUACCCUGGUAGUCCGCACAGUAAACGAUGAAUGCUAGCUGUCCGGGGGGACUGACCCCUGGGUGGCACAGCGAAAGCGUUAAGCAUUCCACCUGGGGAGUACGCCGGCAACGGUGAAACUCAAAGGAAUUGACGG